GGGAACGAGAUGAAAACGGUCCAGGGGCUGCCGCCCAUGCGGGGGAGCAUUGCAGCUUCAAGGUCAGUUGGUAAGUACUACAUCCUGGUUUUCUGUCAGUAUCACGGCUGAUUUUUUGUCAUCAUUAGUAUUAUAAUAUUGGACUGAAGCUCGUUAGCUCUGUCCAUGUUGGAUUUUUGGUAUGAUCUGUAUACUGAUAUUGGACUGAAGCUUGUUACCUCUGUCCAUGCUGGUUUUUUUGUCAUCAUUAGUAUAGUGAUAUAUUGGACUGAAGCUGCACAUAUUUUCUUUCCAUUAACGUUGGUCGGGCGGUGCUACGCGUCAGUCGGGGCAUCCUGGCCACCUUACCCGCCUGAUUUUAAUAUAUGCGUCAGUCGGGGCAUCCUAGCCACCUUACCCGCCUGAUUUUAAUCAAAUUCCACCUAAUUUGUUUUGUCACUAGCUGCGUAUACAAACGUGAGCUCCGGAACUCUGUUGCAGCAUGGG
This 486-nucleotide long non-coding RNA is filed under the name Triticum aestivum (bread wheat). RNAcentral describes it as "long non-coding RNA (TAES_LNC015519)". The record is from RNAcentral. Lineage: Eukaryota; Viridiplantae; Streptophyta; Magnoliopsida; Poales; Poaceae.